UACGGAGGAUGCGAGCGUUAUCCGGAUUUAUUGGGUUUAAAGGGUGCGCAGGCGGCACGGCAAGCCGGCGGUCAAAUCGCGGGGCUCAACCCCGCCCAGCCGUCGGAACUGCCGGGCUAGAGUGGGCGAGAAGUGCGCGGAAUGCGUGGUGUAGCUGUGAAAUGCAUAGAUAUCACGCAGAACUCCGAUUGCGAAGGCAGCGCACCGGCGCCUUACUGACGCUCAGGCACGAAAGCGUGGGUAUCGAACAGG
RNAcentral lists this ribosomal RNA (252 nucleotides) under uncultured bacterium. Its description in RNAcentral is "partial 16S ribosomal RNA". It matches the Rfam family "Bacterial small subunit ribosomal RNA", at positions 524 to 776 of the family's 1533-position model. The record is from RNAcentral.